Molecule: ribosomal RNA, 434 nt
Filed under: uncultured Klebsiella sp.
Lineage: Bacteria; Pseudomonadati; Pseudomonadota; Gammaproteobacteria; Enterobacterales; Enterobacteriaceae
Description: bacterial SSU rRNA
Rfam family: Bacterial small subunit ribosomal RNA
Source: RNAcentral
UAACGCGAAGAACCUUACCUACUCUUGACAUCCAGAGAACUUAGCAGAGAUGCUUUGGUGCCUUCGGGAACUGUGAGACAGGUGCUGCAUGGCUGUCGUCAGCUCGUGUUGUGAAAUGUUGGGUUAAGUCCCGCAACGAGCGCAACCCUUAUCCUUUGUUGCCAGCGGUUCGGCCGGGAACUCAAAGGAGACUGCCAGUGAUAAACUGGAGGAAGGUGGGGAUGACGUCAAGUCAUCAUGGCCCUUACGAGUAGGGCUACACACGUGCUACAAUGGCAUAUACAAAGAGAAGCGACCUCGCGAGAGCAAGCGGACCUCAUAAAGUAUGUCGUAGUCCGGAUUGGAGUCUGCAACUCGACUCCGUGAAGUCGGAAUCGCUAGUAAUCGUGGAUCAGAAUGCCACGGUGAAUACGUUCCCGGGUCUUGUACACACC